AUGGGGGUAGCCUCGAUUGGGCACACAGGGGCCAAACUAGUCAAGGAAAGGCGGGGAAUCGGAGGAGAAGGCAGCGGCGGAGCAGCGGCAGGGCGUGGCGGCGCCGGAGCUAGCCGGCAACGGCCGGAGCAGUGGGUGGAGGCGCCGGCGACACGCACAAGAGAGGAAGCAGAGAAGAGAAAAGGGGAUCGACCGCUGUGUUGUUGUCGUGCGCGUUGGGUGCAUCCACCGGCCGCAUUAGUUGCUAGAACAACUAGAAGCAAUUCUAGUCGAAAUUUGUCCGGGAAGUGCAUUCACAAGAAAAUUAUAGCCAGCACCUCAAAACAAAUGUCCCUUUUCCCCUCUGCUAUACAUCGCCCCUCGCUGGGCGCUUUGUAG
Molecule: ribosomal RNA, 378 nt
Filed under: Triticum aestivum (bread wheat)
Lineage: Eukaryota; Viridiplantae; Streptophyta; Magnoliopsida; Poales; Poaceae
Description: partial small subunit ribosomal RNA
Source: RNAcentral